RNAcentral lists this ribosomal RNA (216 nucleotides) under Glomeromycotina sp. Its description in RNAcentral is "partial small subunit ribosomal RNA". The stretch from base 40 to 216 matches the Rfam family "Eukaryotic small subunit ribosomal RNA", at positions 686 to 864 of the family's 1831-position model. Lineage: Eukaryota; Fungi; Glomeromycota. The record is from RNAcentral.
GGGUCAGGAGGUUGGUCGUGCCACCGGUACGUACUGGUCUCACUGAUUCCUCCUUCCUGAAGAACCGUAAUGCCAUUAAUUUGGUGUUGCGGGGAAACAGGACUGUUACUUUGAAAAAAUUAUAGUGUUUAAAGCAAGCUAACGCUUGAAUACAUUAGCAUGGAAUAAUGAAAUAGGACGAUCGAUCCUAUUUUGUUGGUUUCUAGGAUUGACGUA